RNAcentral lists this ribosomal RNA (88 nucleotides) under Lachnospiraceae bacterium. RNAcentral describes it as "partial 16S ribosomal RNA". It matches the Rfam family "Bacterial small subunit ribosomal RNA", at positions 1 to 95 of the family's 1533-position model. Lineage: Bacteria; Bacillati; Bacillota; Clostridia; Lachnospirales; Lachnospiraceae. The record is from RNAcentral.
AAACAUGAGAGUUUGAUCCUGGCUCAGGAUGAACGCUGGCGGCGUGCUUAACACAUGCAAGUCGAACGGAGCCUAGCAAUAGGCUUAG